GUCUGAACUCAAAUCAGGUAAGAUUACCCGCUGAAUUUAAGCAUAUUAAUAAGCGGAGGAAAAGAAACUAACAAGGAUUCCCUUAGUAACGGCGAGUGAAGCGGGAACAGCUCAAGCUUGAAAUCGGCAGGUGGAGAACGCGUGCCGAGUUGUAGCUUUUGGAGGCAGUUUCAAGCUGCUGGUUGCGGUAAAAGUUCUUUUGAAUAAGACAUCAUAGAGGGUGAUAAUCCCGUCAUUGACCGUGGCCAAAGUGGCGAUGCGAACUGUUUUCUGCGAGUCGGGUUGUUUGGGAAUGCAGCCCUAAUUGGGAGGUAAAUUUCUUCCAAAGCUAAAUAUCAGUAAGAGACCGAUAGCAAACAAGUACCGUGAGGGAAAGAUGAAAAGCACUUUGAAAAGAGAGUGAAAAGUACGUGAAAUUGUUGAAAGGGAAGCGGUUGGUAGCCAAGCAUUUCCUGCGGCGAGGGCAUUUAUGUCAGCGCUGUGGGAGGGUCAACAUCGAUUGCAAUUUGAACUGCCAGAAAGGAAAUUAUGCAGGUUAGCGGAGGAAGGUAGGGAGGCGAGUUUCCGUUCUUCAUUCGUGGGGAGCGGUGCUAUGGCUUGCUUUCUGUUAUAGCCUCCAUGGGCUUGCUAUAUAUACGCCUAGUGGGUGGUGGCGAUCGAGGACUGCAGCGCGUUUUGGGGCGGAUUUCCGCACCGAUGGCCUGAACGUUCCGGGGACAUUUGUAGCUGCGUUUGCGGUAGACAGCGUGCUGACUGCUGCGGGUAGGCUAUAUGUUUCCUGGGGGUUUUUAGGACUAAACAGCGCUUGGGAUGUUGGCGAAAAGGCACUAAUCGACCCGUCUUGAAACACGGACCAAGGAGUCCAACAUGCAUGCGAGUAUCUGGGAACACUUAAGCCCAUAUGCGCAAUGAAAGUGAAAUAGUAGAAACUUUUAUUAGAAUGCAACCGGGGGGUCAAAGCUCCGGGCAGCAUCGACCGACUUUCGAUAGCGUUGCUUGAAGAGGUUGAGUAAGAGCAUGUAUGCUGGGACCCGAAAGAUGGUGAACUAUGCCUGAAUAGGGUGAAGUCAGAGGAAACUCUGAUGGAAGCUCGUAGAGAUUCUGACGUGCAAAUCGAUCUCCAAAUUUGGGUAUAGGGGCGAAAGACUAAUCAAACCAUCUAGUAAACUGGUUCCUGA
Molecule: ribosomal RNA, 1178 nt
Filed under: Smittium simulii
Lineage: Eukaryota; Fungi; Kickxellomycota; Harpellomycetes; Harpellales; Legeriomycetaceae
Also listed under: 1 other name
Description: eukaryotic LSU rRNA
Rfam family: Eukaryotic large subunit ribosomal RNA
Source: RNAcentral